RNAcentral lists this ribosomal RNA (479 nucleotides) under uncultured bacterium. RNAcentral describes it as "partial 16S ribosomal RNA". It matches the Rfam family "Bacterial small subunit ribosomal RNA", at positions 28 to 507 of the family's 1533-position model. The record is from RNAcentral.
GAUGAACGCUGGCGGCGUGCUUAACACAUGCAAGUCGAGCGAGAAGUUUUGAAAAGAUUCUUCGGAUGAAAUUUAAAAUGGAAAGCGGCGGACGGGUGAGUAACGCGUAGGCAACCUGCCCCAUACAAAGGGAUAGCAUUUGGAAACGAAUAUUAAUACCUUAUGAAACUUAACUAGUGCAUGCUAGGUAGGUCAAAGAUUCAUCGGUAUGGGAUGGGCCUGCGUCUGAUUAGCUAGUUGGUGAGGUAACGGCUCACCAAGGCGACGAUCAGUAGCCGACCUGAGAGGGUGAACGGCCACAUUGGAACUGAGACACGGUCCAAACUCCUACGGGAGACAGCAGUGGGGAAUAUUGCACAAUGGGGGAAACCCUGAUGCAGCAACGCCGCGUGAACGAUGAAGGCCUUUGGGUCGUAAAGUUCUGUUCUAGGUGAUGAAAACUGACAGUAACCUAGGAGAAAGCCCCGGCUAACUCCGUG